Molecule: ribosomal RNA, 253 nt
Filed under: uncultured bacterium
Lineage: Bacteria
Description: partial 16S ribosomal RNA
Rfam family: Bacterial small subunit ribosomal RNA
Source: RNAcentral
UACGUAGGGUGCGAGCGUUAAUCGGAAUUACUGGGCGUAAAGCGUGCGCAGGCGGUUUUGUAAGCCAGAUGUGAAAGCCCCGGGCUUAACCUGGGAACUGCAUUUGUGACUGCAUCGCUGGAGUGCGGCAGAGGGGGAUGGAAUUCCGCGUGUAGCAGUGAAAUGCGUAGAUAUGCGGAGGAACACCGAUGGCGAAGGCAAUCCCCUGGGCCUGCACUGACGCUCAUGCACGAAAGCGUGGGGAGCAAACAGG